AAUCGCACGCAGUGCGGUCACUUACUUUGAAAGAUUGAGUCACUGCGUAAGCUCGGCAAAACCGCACUCAAAAAUCACAAGUUCUCCCUACCCGGCAAGCAGCAGAUGCGGUGUGCCGGGGCACCGCAAACGAGGACGACUUGUGCACUAGAAUUUUGAUAACCCUUGGAGACUUUCGUCGAUUCGGCAUGAUUGGUUGGCGAGUUGUUGAAAAUCGAGACAAACGACAAAAAUUCCUCGGAUAUUCAGAAUCGCACCGAUUCUGCUGCAGGACUGCGCAACCGCAAACGACUCGGAUGGUGUUCAAGAUAAAACUGAGUUGAAUCUCCUGGCCCUGGAGCGGGAUCGGGGGCGAGACAAACGCUGCGCAAAGCACGUGGUGAUGUCGUAUACGCGCCCCCGCGGCGACGCUUUUUACACGGAGAAUUCAACGACUUGUCGACUGCAAGUUUAAUAUACGCCUAUAACACAUGCGGUACAGUCCAUACAUGUACGAAUUCGUACGUAACUCGGGGUCCUCGGGAUCGGCUUCGACGCAGGAGUGCAAUGGAUAGUUUUUUUCUACCUGAUGCGUCGCAAACGUGCAUGAGAAGUUGCGCAUAAAGCAGGUGUCUAAGCCCAGGAGAAUCACGUUUUCUCAGUAUUUUCACAUAUUACACAAAGUUGAAUCGAGAAGCUUAUUUUAUGCAUCAUAUCAUUCGAGAGCCGGUGCCGCGAUACAAUGGAUACCAGCACUACGAUUUCGUCUA
Neodiprion fabricii is the source of this 749-nucleotide long non-coding RNA. RefSeq lists it as uncharacterized. Lineage: Eukaryota; Metazoa; Arthropoda; Insecta; Hymenoptera; Diprionidae. The transcript has 3 exons. The record is from RefSeq and is a predicted model, not a curated record.